Molecule: ribosomal RNA, 2593 nt
Filed under: Arthroplea bipunctata
Lineage: Eukaryota; Metazoa; Arthropoda; Insecta; Ephemeroptera; Arthropleidae
Description: eukaryotic LSU rRNA
Rfam family: Eukaryotic large subunit ribosomal RNA
Source: RNAcentral
UUAGUAAGCGGAGGAAAAGAAACUAACAAGGAUUCCCCGAGUAACGGCGAGCGAAAGGGGAGGAGCCCAGCGCAUAAUCCCCCAGUGCUGUAGCGCUGGCGGGAAAUGUUGCGUAUAGGAGGGUCGAUUCUCCCGGGCGUCGCGGCCGGUCCAAGUCCCUCUUGAACGGGGCCACGGUCCUUAGAAGGUGCCAGGCCUGUGGGAUGGUUGCGAUGUUCGGGACGACUUCUCCUUGGAGUCGGGUUGCUUGAGAGUGCAGCCCUAAGCAGGUGGUAAACUCCAUCUAAGGCUAAAUACUACCACGAGACCGAUAGCAAACAAGUACCGUGAGGGAAAGUUGAAAAGAACUUUGAAGAGAGAGUUCAAGAGUACGUGAAACCGUUCAGGGGUAAACGGGUGGAGCCCUAAAGGUCGAACGAGGAGAUUCAGUGUUCCGUCCACUGGCCGCCUGCCGCCGUUGGGUAAACUUUCGCUCCCGGCUUGCCGGUUCUUGCGGAGGGCCCUCGGUGGGGGUUUGCGCGCCGGUGGGGUUGCGCACUUCUCCUCUAGUAGCACGUCGCGACCCGUUGGGUGUCGGUCGAAAGCCCGGGGGCGAGCCCGCGACUCUCUCGAGAGUCUCGGAGUCCCGGUGUCUAGGCCGACUGCUCGACGGUCUUGAAAGCGGAAAAGGCCCGCGUGGCUCUCGUAGCUCGCGCUCGUGCCCUCUGCGAGCGUCCUGUCGCGUGUCGUUGUGCGGACUUGUCCGCCGCGGCCCGACCGGCGUUGUCGGCGGAGGGAUUUCUCGAGCAGUGGCCUGCUCCCGUCCGCGACGGUAACACAGGGCGGCCCACCCGGCCCGUCUUGAAACACGGACCAAGGAGUCUAACAUGUGCGCGAGUCAUUGGGUCCCUCGAAACCCAAAGGCGUAUUGAACGAAAAGGCCGUCCUCCGCGUCGGCUGAGGGAAGAUGGGGGCUCGCUCGCGGGCCCCCCGCAUUCCCGGGGCGUCUCGUGCUACCGCCGCUCGUCGGCGGAAGUUGAGGCGCACCUAGAGCGCACACGUUGGUACCCGAAAGAUGGUGAACUAUGCCUGGCCAGGACGAAGCCAGGGGAAACCCUGGUGGAGGUCCGUAGCGAUUCUGACGUGCAAAUCGAUCGUCAGAGCUGGGUAUAGGGGCGAAAGACUAAUCGAACCAUCUAGUAGCUGGUUCCCUCCGAAGUUUCCCUCAGGAUAGCUGGCGCUCGGAGAUUCGAGUCCCAUCCGGUAAAGCGAAUGAUUAGAGGCCAUGGGGUCGAAACGACCUCAACCUAUUCUCAAACUCUAAAUGGGUGGGAUCUGCGGCUUGUUUGAACGUGAAGCCGCAGUUUCGGAUCGGAGUGCCCAGUGGGCCACUUUUGGUAAGCAGAACUGGCGCUGUGGGAUGAACCAAACGCUGGGUUAAGGCGCCCGAAUGAACGCUCAUGUGAAACCAUGAAAGGUGUUGGUUGCUUAAGACAGCAGGACGGUGGCCAUGGAAGUCGGAAUCCGCUAAGGAGUGUGUAACAACUCACCUGCCGAAGCAACUAGCCCUGAAAAUGGAUGGCGCUGAAGCGUUCUGCCUAUACCCGGCCGCCGGCGGCAGAAGGCGGGCGUCUUCGGACGUUCGCUGCGAAGCCCCGGUGAGUAGGAGGGUCGCGACGGUGAGCGCAGAAGGGUCUGGGCGUGAGCCUGCCUGGAGCCGCCGUCGGUGCAGAUCUUGGUGGUAGUAGCAAAUACUCCAGCGAGGCCCUGGAGGACCGAUGUGGAGAAGGGUUCCGUGUGAACAGCCGUUGCACACGGGUCAGUCGAUCCUAAGCCCUAGGAGAAAUCCGAUGUUGAUGGUCGCGGGAUGUAUUUUGCACCAGUUUGCGCUGAAAGGAGCGGGCUGCCGCAGUCAGUCGACCUUUGCACUCUCUUCGCUUGUAGCCUCAACCCCUUGAACGCCGCGCGGUUCCGAUCGCAAGAUCGGUUCAGCGCGCAAACCUUUGAACGCGGGUGAGAAGAGAGGUGCAUCGUUUGUCGCAAGCGGCGUCGCCUCGUUAGUCGAUGACUCGAUCGUUGUCGCCGUGUGGUCUCCGGACCCCGGCCUUCAGACCCACUUGAACGACGCCAUCUCUUUGAGAUGCCGCACUUGAACGAGGUCUGUUGGUCGGGUGAGUCUUUGCGUGGGAUCCCGGUGAGGCGAGUCGUACUUGUCGCGAGGGCGUCGUCUCGUUCUGGAGUAUGCGCAAUCUUAUCUGGUCGUACUAGAACCCCGUCCGUCGGGCGAAAGGGAAUCCGGUUCCUAUUCCGGAACCCGGUUGCGGAACCGCACUCACGAUCCUCGUAUUGACACGGUAACGUGAAUGAGCCUAGAGAUGCCGCCUGGAGCCCCGGGAAGAGUUUUCUUUUCUGCCUGAGCGUUCGGGUACCAUGGAAUCCUCUCGUAGGGAGAUAUGGUAUGGAACGCGAAGAGCACCGCAGUUGCUGCGGUGUCCGGGGAGUCCCGCCGGCCCUUGAAAAUCUAGGUGAGGGUCACGUGGAGGCGUCGCACCGGCUCGUACCCAUAUCCGCAGCAGGUCUCCAAGGUCAAGAGCCUCUGGUCGAUAGACUAAUG